This 623-nucleotide ribosomal RNA is filed under the name Alteromonas sp. UST020129-039. RNAcentral describes it as "bacterial SSU rRNA". It matches the Rfam family "Bacterial small subunit ribosomal RNA", at positions 401 to 1016 of the family's 1533-position model. The record is from RNAcentral. Lineage: Bacteria; Pseudomonadati; Pseudomonadota; Gammaproteobacteria; Alteromonadales; Alteromonadaceae.
GUGUGUGAAGAAGGCCUUCGGGUUGUAAAGCACUUUCAGUCGUGAGGAAGGGGUAGUAAUUAAUACUUGCUAUCUUUGACGUUAGCGACAGAAGAAGGACCGGCUAACUCCGUGCCAGCAGCCGCGGUAAUACGGAGGGUCCGAGCGUUAAUCGGAAUUACUGGGCGUAAAGCGUACGCAGGCGGCUUGUUAAGCCAGAUGUGAAAUCCCCGGGCUCAACCUGGGAAUGGCAUUUGGAACUGGCAAGCUAGAGUUUUGUAGAGGGUGGUAGAAUUUCAGGUGUAGCGGUGAAAUGCGUAGAGAUCUGAAGGAAUACCAGUGGCGAAGGCGGCCACCUGGACAAAAACUGACGCUCAUGUACGAAAGCGUGGGGAGCAAACAGGAUUAGAUACCCUGGUAGUCCACGCCGUAAACGAUGUCUACUAGUUGUCUGUGAGUUUAACUCGUGGGUAACGCAGCUAACGCAUUAAGUAGACCGCCUGGGGAGUACGGCCGCAAGGUUAAAACUCAAAUGAAUUGACGGGGGCCCGCACAAGCGGUGGAGCAUGUGGUUUAAUUCGAUGCAACGCGAAGAACCUUACCUGCCCUUGACAUACUGAGAACUUACCAGAGAGGUUUGGUGC